RNAcentral lists this ribosomal RNA (578 nucleotides) under uncultured bacterium. Its description in RNAcentral is "bacterial SSU rRNA". It matches the Rfam family "Bacterial small subunit ribosomal RNA", at positions 338 to 916 of the family's 1533-position model. The record is from RNAcentral.
CCUACGGGAGGCAGCAGUAAGGAAUAUUGGUCAAUGGGGGCAACCCUGAACCAGCCAUCCCGCGUGAAGGAUGACAGCCCUAUGGGUUGUAAACUUCUUUUAUAUAGGACGAACUCCCGAGAUUCAUCUCGGGCUGACGGUACUAUAUGAAUAAGCACCGGCUAAUUCCGUGCCAGCAGCCGCGGUAAUACGGAAGGUGCAAGCGUUAUCCGGAAUCACUGGGUUUAAAGGGUGCGUAGGCGGCGCAGCCAGUCAGAAGUGAAAGCCUGCGGCUUAACCGUAGAAUUGCUUUUGAUACUGUUGUGCUUGAGUCAGGUUGAGGUUGGCGGAAUGUGACAUGUAACGGUGAAAUGUGUAGAUAUGUCAUAGAACACCAAUUGCGAAGGCAGCUGACUAGACCUUGACUAACGCUGAGGCACGAAAGCGUGGGGAGCGAACAGGAUUAGAUACCCUGGUAGUCCACGCCCUAAACGAUGCUAACUCGAUAUGUGGACUUCGGUCUGCGUGUCCAAGGGAAACCGCUAAGUUAGCCACCUGGGGAGUACGUCGGCAACGAUGAAACUCAAAGGAAUUGACGG